Long non-coding RNA from Herpailurus yagouaroundi (jaguarundi), 3511 nucleotides. RefSeq lists it as uncharacterized. The record is from RefSeq and is a predicted model, not a curated record. NCBI's taxonomy places the organism in Eukaryota, Metazoa, Chordata, Mammalia, Carnivora, Felidae. The transcript is spliced from 5 exons.
CCGGCCCUGGGCCCCAGGCUGUGGAAUGUAAGAGAAGCAUCCAACAGCCCGCCCUCCCAAUUUCCUGCCGGCUGGGGCAGUGCCGCUUGGGUGAGAGGGGCGGCGGAGGCACCGGCUGCCUCCGCACCCUCGCCCGGCGGUGCCCCCGCCGCUCACUCAGGCUUUGCUCCCCUCGGGGCUCGCGGGGCCUCUGCCUUUCGUCCGGCCCUCUGUUUUCUGUUUCGCCCUGGCAAGUUCCAUCUGGCACUUAGAUCUUAUAAAUAGCCGCAGCUAGGGUGUGACUCGGGUGGAGACGUGGAGCUGGUACUCCACCCUGAAGGGGAAAAAAGCUCAUUUAAUUCAUUUCUGCACUUGGAAGCCUCUUCCUUUUCGAACGCCAAUUAGGCGGCAGCUGCUGGGGACUUUUUUCCUCUCCUUAUCCCAAGAUGGCCGUCUGAUUUUCGGCGCCUGUUGACUUAAGCUCUUACAGGAGGUUGGGUGGGGCGGGCGUGGUAGAACCGCGGCCGCUCUGAAGUGGGCUGGCCGAGUUUUGCUGACUUUCCGCGAGAGCCUGUGGGUGGGAGCGGGUGAGGUUCCCCAGAGGACCCAGCCCUCGUCUGUUUCUUCCAGGACGCUGGGGUUUGGGAUUUCAGAGUCUGGUUUUUCUUUGUUUCCGGAGAGUCCAUUCCAGCAUCUAUUAAACAAGAAUAAGAAGGAAAGAUUCGAAGCAAUAUCCCAAUACUCUUUAGAUUCUAUCAACUGUGAGACACUAUGGAUUUUCAAAGACGGCUGACUGCCUUUCAUGCCUCUGAACUCCGCCCUUCCUUGGCAUGAUGGAGAAGGAAAAUGAACUCAAGACCCACCUAGUACAGCAUCUUAAAUCUAAUUAGGUACCCAAACAAGCGACUUAUUUGAACUCAACGCAUCCCAAGUUGCAAAAGUGGGCCAAGUCUCUUGGCUCCUAGGACUACAGCUUUGCCUCCUUCAGGAGCUAGACAGCUGAUGCUCAGCAGAGCUGCAGGUAUGCGCCAGACCCCGGGAAGAAGCACACCCUCCUGUGUAAUGCGAAGGCCACGGUCCAGACUUCAUUCUCCCCGGGUCUCAGGUGCCGGUCCAUUUGCAGAAGACCAGGGAGCAGGGAGCAGCGCUGUAUUUGAGAUCUUGAAGGACACCUCGUGGUGCCACUGGAGUCGGAGACGCAAAAGGAAAAGAUGAGGGAUGGUCAUCGCUGUGCUCUUCACAUGUUGUGAGAAUUCUGGGUCAUUUUCUCAAGUUUGGAAUUGUGGAUGUGGCCAUGGCCGUGGCUGUUUCCAGACAGAAAACAGUGGAAUCCUGGAAAGAGUCAAACAAUCAACUGUGAUUUUGUACUUCGAUCCAGAUGAAUUAAGCAAGCAGAUCCUUUGGGUUUUACACAUCUAUGAAAUAUCAGGCCCUCAUGUUCUCCUUUUGGGGUGUUCUUCCUCAAAAAGAAUGCACUUUCACUAUUUAAAUCAUAUCAGUAAAUAGUCAUAUUGUGUCUUAUGGUUUUUUGGUCCUUCUGUCUUAAAAAGAAUGAUUUCAAGAAUGAAGUUUCACAUGCCGAUUUGAAUAGUUUAAUUUUUGUUGGAAUAAUUAGUUCCCUUCCUUCUCAUCUUUUUCUGAACCCACUGGAAAAAAAAAAAAAGACAAAGGAGAGAGGCAGAGAGACACCAAAAUAACAUCUUUCCUAUUGAUAAAGCUGACAUUGGAGAAAGUGGAAUAUAUCUGUGGCCAAAUGGACUUCCUAAUCGUGAGUGCACGUGCUGGCUGCACCAGCCGAUCUGGUCAGAGGCAGAAGCAGACCACUGCUGGCCUCCACACACGGGAAGCGUGGAGAGCUUUACUGUUGUGCUUGCCAUGGGUUUGACAGCCAUCUAGAGCAUGUUUUCUCUGCUAGUUCCUACAAGGAAGAAGAGACAGGAAGGGGCUGGGCUGUGCAUGCUUGGUUUCUUCCCACAGAUUCCUCAAUUAGGUCCUGGUUACUGUGCCCAAUAAGUGAAAGCUUUCCUGGGUCAUCCGCUGAAAUGCUGGGAAGUCCAAAGAGGUGAGGAGCAUAGCUUUGCCAGUGAGACUGUCCCGGAGUUCAACCCCCCACCACUGAGAAGCACCUUGCACUCCCAGAAGCCUUCCCAGGCUCGGUUUUCUCAUCUGUAAAACAAAAAAACACCCACCCCUACAGGACUUCAGUGAGGAUUAAAAUAUGAUAUAAAGGGCUUGGCCUCUAGUAACACUUUCUAAAUAAUUCAUAUUUUAUAAAAAUGCUCUCGGCUUUAAUUUGGCUUCAGGCUUUUGAUCAGACAAUAAUAUUUAUUAUACACUUAGUAGGUAUGAAAGGGGACAGAAAGAGGUCUGAAGUCUAGGGUGACAGGUAAGACACACACAGAAUAGAAAACUGUGGGAUCAGGGACAAGUGGCUUAUUUCUACCCGACAUCUGGAAGAGGUAGAGAAUCUGAAUAGGGUGUACAUUUGAGGACAAACAGCGGAGUGACUUCCCUUUUCCUAGCUACGAAUUUGGGAUAUUCUUCUCUUUUCCUGUUUGGGCUUUUGUGUUCCUCAGAGAGGAGACCUCUAAUUCUGAGAAGUGGGCAAGAGGAGGUCAAACUGCUGCUCACAAAACAAUGACUCAAAACCCUGAGUCUUUUCCGGAUUUACCUACUUUUAAAAACCAAAAAUCCUUUGCCCCCCCCCUCAGGCCUGCUGGAGGAACAGGGGCUCCUGUGGCUUUCUGGCAAAGGCAGUCAGGGUGUGAGGAAACCAGAAGGAACCAAAACACAAUGAGAAACCCCGUUCAGCCGACCACGGAAAAGUCCUCUUUGUUGUUUGAAAUUUUUAUCUUGUUUGUGGCAAAUCUAAUGAUUCAGUAACGACCACAGCUGUGUUGGGGCCCACGAAUUUCCUCAGAGGCUUCCCCCCACCCCCACCCCCCACUUGAGAGCAGGAACAAGGCCAGCUGGGUAGGCCACCCUCCUCCAGCUCUCUUCCCAGUCUCUGCAAUGUGUUUGGGACAAGCAGCGCUUGGGGCCGCCCGUCCGGAGAUUUUAUCCGACCUCUCCUGAAUCUAAUUCCGUGGGGGAGGAAGCGAAGUAAAACUGGCUGUUUUAGGUUCAUGGACGAUGCGUUUCUGGGCAUGAGGUUCAGCUCUCUGUAUCCUGCUGUUGAAGUAAGUUUGAGAGAGUCAAAUCGUUUCUCACUGUGGUCCUCACUGUGGUAAUGACAGAGAGUCACAGAGAAGAUUCCGGUUUCCCAGACCCCGCCGAGGGUGGGGGGCAGCUGGCACCUGGCAGCAACCGCCUGCUUGCCUCUGAUUUCCCUGGGUCAGCGCCUCCCUACUGUGUGCGCUGGGCCAAGGAGCAGCAACAAGAAGGAAAGACAAGGCAAGGUGGCCGCCGAGGGGCUCGGGGUCCUGCAUGAUCUCAGCGUGCAGCUGCAGCUGGCGUGGGUGCGGCUCCCGUGGGGAGGCCCUGGGGGCUCGGUCUCACUGGCAUGCUAAUGUCCCUCCCUGCCUCACAUGCC